UACACACCGCCCGUCACACCACGGGAGGUCGAGUUGGUCCCGAAGUGCGUGAGCUAACCCGCAAGGGAGGCGAGCGUCCUAAGGAAUGGUCGGUGACUGGGGUG
This 104-nucleotide ribosomal RNA is filed under the name uncultured bacterium. RNAcentral's name for it is "partial 16S ribosomal RNA". The record is from RNAcentral.